Molecule: ribosomal RNA, 253 nt
Filed under: uncultured bacterium
Lineage: Bacteria
Description: partial 16S ribosomal RNA
Rfam family: Bacterial small subunit ribosomal RNA
Source: RNAcentral
UACGUAGGGUGCGAGUGUUAAUCGGAAUUACUGGGCGUAAAGCGUGCGCAGGCGGCUUUGCAAGACAGAUGUGAAAUCCCCGGGCUUAACCUGGGAACUGCAUUUGUGACUGCAAGGCUGGAGUGCGGCAGAGGGGGAUGGAAUUCCGCGUGUAGCAGUGAAAUGCGUAGAUAUGCGGAGGAACACCGAUGGCGAAGGCAAUCCCCUGGGCCUGCACUGACGCUCAUGCACGAAAGCGUGGGGAGCAAACAGG